RNAcentral lists this ribosomal RNA (406 nucleotides) under uncultured bacterium. RNAcentral's name for it is "partial 16S ribosomal RNA". It matches the Rfam family "Bacterial small subunit ribosomal RNA", at positions 30 to 526 of the family's 1533-position model. The record is from RNAcentral.
AUUGAACGCUGGCGGCAGGCCUAACACAUGCAAGUCGAACGAGUGGCGGACGGGUGAGUAAUGUCUGGGAAACUGCCUGAUGGAGGGGGAUAACUACUGGAAACGGUAGCUAAUACCGCAUACCAUCAGAUGUGCCCAGAUGGGAUUAGCUAGUUGGUGGGGUAACGGCUCACCAAGGCGACGAUCCCUAGCUGGUCUGGGAGGAUGACCAGCCACACUGGAACUGAGAGACGGUCCAGACUCCUACGGGAGGAAGCAUUGGGGAAUAUUGGACAAGGGGCGAAAGCCUGAUCCCGCCAUGCCGCGUGUGUGAAGAAGGUCUUCGGAUUGUAAAGCACUUUAAGUUGGGAGGCGUUACCAACAGAAUAAGCACCGGCUAACUUCGUGCCAGCAGCCGCGGUAAUAC